UACGAAUCGUCCAAACGUUGUUCGGAUUCCCUGGGUUUAAAGGGCGCGUAGGCUGUGCGUUAAGUCGGUGGUGAAAUACUUCGGCUCAACCGGAGAAUUGCCGCUGAAACUGGCGCGCUAGAGGGAGGCAGAGGUGCAUGGAACUUCCGGUGGAGCGGUGAAAUGCGUUGAUAUCGGAAGGAACACCCGUGGCGAAAGCGGUGCACUGGACCUCUUCUGACGCUGAGGCGCGAAAGCCAGGGGAGCGAACGGG
Molecule: ribosomal RNA, 253 nt
Filed under: uncultured bacterium
Lineage: Bacteria
Description: partial 16S ribosomal RNA
Rfam family: Bacterial small subunit ribosomal RNA
Source: RNAcentral